This 577-nucleotide ribosomal RNA is filed under the name uncultured Gammaproteobacteria bacterium. RNAcentral's name for it is "bacterial SSU rRNA". It matches the Rfam family "Bacterial small subunit ribosomal RNA", at positions 102 to 673 of the family's 1533-position model. The record is from RNAcentral. Lineage: Bacteria; Pseudomonadati; Pseudomonadota; Gammaproteobacteria.
ACGGGUGAGUAAUGCGUAGGGAUCUGCCUUGUGGAUGGGGACAACUUGAGGAAACUCGAGCUAAUACCCGAUAAGCUCUACGGAGGAAAGGAGGGGACUGGAAACGGCCCUUCACCAUGAGAUGAACCUACGUCGGAUUAGCUAGUUGGUGGGGUAAAGGCCUACCAAGGCGAUGAUCCGUAGCUGGUCUGAGAGGAUGAACAGCCACACUGGGACUGAGACACGGCCCAGACUCCUACGGGAGGCAGCAGUGGGGAAUAUUGGACAAUGGGGGCAACCCUGAUCCAGCGAUGCCGCGUGUGCGAAGAAGGCCUGCGGGUUGUAAAGCACUUUGAUGGGGGAAGAAGGGGUGAGUUUGAAUAGAGCUCAUCAUUGACGUUACCCCAGGAACAAGCACCGGCUAACUCUGUGCCAGCAGCCGCGGUAAUACAGAGGGUGCGAGCGUUAAUCGGAAUUACUGGGCGUAAAGGGCGCGUAGGCGGCUAAAUAAGUUAGGUGUGAAAUCCCUGGGCUUAACCUAGGAAUUGCACUUGAUACUGUUAGGCUAGAGUAGAGUAGAGGGAAGUGGAAUUUCCGG